RNAcentral lists this non-coding RNA (181 nucleotides) under Pseudomonadota bacterium. RNAcentral's name for it is "6S RNA". It matches the Rfam family "6S / SsrS RNA". From Rfam's summary of the family: E. coli 6S RNA was the first non coding RNA to be sequenced, but its function was unknown until recently. Lineage: Bacteria; Pseudomonadati; Pseudomonadota. The record is from RNAcentral. RNAcentral also lists the same sequence under 1 other name.
GGUUCUCUGCGGUGUGCGAGGCGGGUCAAUAGUCCCGAUCCAACACGAGAGCCCGGGGAGCCCGGCUCCGGACGCGGAUAGCUUGGCCGCAGCUGCGCCGAGCGAUGAAGCGUCUGGGAGGGCACCCACCUACGAGAGUAGGGUUCGGGGGCUAUGAUCCGCACGGCACCGCGGAGAGCAC